Molecule: ribosomal RNA, 253 nt
Filed under: uncultured bacterium
Lineage: Bacteria
Description: partial 16S ribosomal RNA
Rfam family: Bacterial small subunit ribosomal RNA
Source: RNAcentral
UACGUAGGGGGCUAGCGUUGUCCGGAAUCAUUGGGCGUAAAGAGCUCGUAGGCGGUUUGUCGCGUCUGCCGUGAAAGUCCGGGGCUCAACUCCGGAUCUGCGGUGGGUACGGGCAGACUAGAGUGAUGUAGGGGAGACUGGAAUUCCUGGUGUAGCGGUGAAAUGCGCAGAUAUCAGGAGGAACACCGAUGGCGAAGGCAGGUCUCUGGGCAUUAACUGACGCUGAGGAGCGAAAGCGUGGGGAGCGAACAGG